RNAcentral lists this ribosomal RNA (254 nucleotides) under uncultured bacterium. RNAcentral describes it as "partial 16S ribosomal RNA". It matches the Rfam family "Bacterial small subunit ribosomal RNA", at positions 524 to 776 of the family's 1533-position model. The record is from RNAcentral.
GACGAACCGUGCGAACGUUAUUCGGAUUCACUGGGCUUAAAGGGCGCGUAGACGGACGACCGCGUCGAUGGCUGAAAGCCCCCGGCUCAACCGGGGAAUGGGCCUCGAUACGGGUCGUCUCGAGUGGAGGAGGGGGACCUGGAACUUCCGGUGGAGCGGUGAAAUGCGUUGAGAUCGGAAGGAACGCCUGCGGCGAAAGCGAGGUCCUGGACUCUGACUGACGUUGAGGCGCGAAAGCCAGGGGAGCGAACGGG